Etheostoma spectabile (orangethroat darter) is the source of this 635-nucleotide long non-coding RNA. RefSeq lists it as uncharacterized. NCBI's taxonomy places the organism in Eukaryota, Metazoa, Chordata, Actinopteri, Perciformes, Percidae. The record is from RefSeq and is a predicted model, not a curated record. The transcript has 2 exons.
GAGUGCUUCAUGUCAUAGACGGUAACAACUGUCAAGUGUUCUGAUAAGGAGCACAAGAGGUGGAUAAUGUUUGACAGGACUUUUGUGACUACAGAUCAAAGGUCCAAGUGUGUUUUCCUUUCAGAUCCACCUUCAUACUUCAGACAGACUUCUGUCAGUGGGGGAAUGUAAAUCUGAUCCAGGCAUUCUAGUUUGUGGGAGCAUCCUGUCUUCAGCAUCAUGGUGGAAUUGGCUUUCUACCCGGGGGUGGCACUGAUGUAUUUUUUUGGAGUGAUGAAAGCCACACAGGACGAUCAGGUGGAGCUGGAUGACCGUGCGUCAAUGAAUGUGUUCUGUCUGUUCGUGUUGGCACAGCCGCUGUGUCUGGUACUGGGAGGAUACACUGGCAUGGCUACAUACCUCCUCACAGCUCUAGUCUCCUACAACUUCCUGCCUUGGAGGAAAACAAAACAGCCCGCGAAGGUAAAAGAAUCAAAAAAGAAGACAAAGUGAGAACAAGCAACGUAUACUGUAUAAAGAUGGCAAGACAGUAGAUUCAAACAGGUUGCAAAAGAAAAAAAUAUUUAAAGACCAUUUAAAGAAUAAGCAUUCAAUGUGACAAUCUUCUUAUAUGAAUAAAUGAAUGCGUUGCUCAA